UUUCCAUUUACGCGGGAAAUGUUAUUGAGUAAUGGCGUCUUAAUAGUUUCUGUGUUCGCAACGUGAUAAAAUUUUAUAAUUAUUGUAAAGAAGAUUCAAGAAAAUAAGAUUCAUACACAAUUCAAAUCUUUCAUUAAAACAACUCAUCACGUAGACAACGUUCACAUUCGAGCUAUCUAUAAGAAAUUAAUAGAAAAUCAGGACACAACGUGUGGUGUGGGUGCUUUUACCAAUUAAACGCAAGAUUAGAAAACUACGUCGCACGAGUUUCAUCCUUACUAGAUGGUUUUAACCAUUUUACACGAGAUUGAUUAAACAUAGAAUCAUUCGACUGAAACAGAGUUCCUUCUGCCAACGUGUAAUGUGAUAAACGAGAGGGCCUGGUCUCGGUGUCGUCUUUAUGCAGGUGCACGUGCCUCCGCUUAACUAUGGCAUAACUACUGGGUCGGCGAGCUUGUGACAAACUGCAUCGUAUAAAUACAUCGCGUGAAUGCGUGCGGUUAUUUUUUACCGGAUAAGCUCUUUCGAGCACGAACGCUGUGUGACUGAUGAAAU
Long non-coding RNA from Apis laboriosa (Himalayan honeybee), 555 nucleotides. RefSeq lists it as uncharacterized. The transcript has 3 exons. The record is from RefSeq and is a predicted model, not a curated record. Lineage: Eukaryota; Metazoa; Arthropoda; Insecta; Hymenoptera; Apidae.